This is a long non-coding RNA of Cyprinus carpio (common carp), 1142 nucleotides long. The record is from Ensembl. NCBI's taxonomy places the organism in Eukaryota, Metazoa, Chordata, Actinopteri, Cypriniformes, Cyprinidae.
CUCCUCCUCCCUGUCCUUCAACUCUAACAGCUGAUGACUUUGCCACAUUCUUCAUUAAUAAAAUUACAACCAUCAGUGCACAAUUCUCCACAACACACACUGUUAAACACAUCUUACCAGAAAACAUAAACUCGCUCACAUCCUUCUCUCCACUCUCUGAGGCCAAAGUCUCCAAACUCAUCCUUUCCAAGCAUCCUACUACUUGUCCACUUGAUCCUGUUUCAUCUCAUCUCCUUCAAGCAAUUUCUUCCUCAGUUGUACCUGCACUCACGCACACAUCCUUAACACAUCCCUUCACACUGGUGUCUCUCCCCCAGCAUUUAAACAGGCUUGGAUAACCCCAGUACUUAUGAAACCAGCACUUUUAGAAAACUACAGACUAGUAUCCCUUCUUCCAUUCACUGCAAAAACACUUGAAUGAGUUGUAUUCAACUAAGUCUCUGCCUUUCUCACACAGAACAAAGUCUGGCUUCAGAAGUGGACAUUCAACCAGGAUUGCCUUGCUCUCGGUUGUUGAAGCCCCAAGACUCAUUGCGCCUCAUGCAGGUCUUCCCUGACGACAGCCACUCAGAGUGUGUUUCCUGUCUGGGGCAGGUGAGAGCAGAAGUCCAAAAGUCCAAAAAUAAGGGCCACCCUACUGUGCAGUGGAAUUCCGAGCAUCUGUCUGCGUUGAGCUCAUGUCCGCCCCUCCGCCGGACUCAGCACUGCCCCUUUAUCUGCAAUCAUACUGAGAGUCAUCCAGCACAGGGCACAGGACUGAGGGGAGCACAGGAGCCAUGGCCGUGUUCUCAGCGCUUUAUUCACUCUUUCUGUUCCAGCUGUUGACAUCGUCUCUCGCUCAGGUAAGACAGAGUUCGACUAAUAACCUGCUUGAUCAUCUGCUGCAGUAAUAUCUAGACUGAGAACUGCAACCAGAUGCGCGAAUGUGGAAACAAUAUUAGUUCACAUCAGUGACUAGCUAAUGAGUUUGUUCAAUCCAUGAAAGAUUAUUAUUGGUAUACAUGUUUUGUUUUGUUUUGUUUUGUUUUGUUUUCAUUAAAAAAAAAAAAUCAGGUUACCUUACAGGAAUUUUUUUCACAGUGUAAUGUGAUCGUCACACAAUGGCAUCUUUGUGAGAUCUUUGCCCACUUCACUAAUUUCAC